ACUCUUGGUGAGCCAUUUUAUUGGUGAUUAAUGAUGGUGAAACUUUGUCUCGCAUCAAGGUUCAUGUGCAGAACAAGUUGCAAGUACGAGAUGAGGAAUUUUUGAAGUGGAGAUUUGCUUUUGUGUCGCAUAGUCAAGCAGAAUACUUGGAGGACUCAGAUACUUUGUUCGGCCAUUUCCAGGUCUCACUCACUCUCUCACAUAGACACACUCUGUGACAAUAUUUAUAUGCAGAUGCGCUUAAAUUUCAUAAUAUGUUUUGACUCUACAAAGAAGCAGUAUUUGUGUUUCUUGGGAGCAAUAUCUUGGACUGGAACACGUUAACAAUACCCCUAGAAGGCUCCUACAGCAAAUCAGGUUUCAAACCGCCAUCGCCCACAUUCUGUGCACCAAUCCAUUCUCUCGGAGAUGGUGGAGGAGCACGCUCAACCGAAAAUAUGUUACCUUGAGCAUCCCUUCUUUGUGCAAAAGCUGAUUCUGGACCUUCAAAUCACGGUUGAAAGCACCGCAGGUAUGGCAAAAAUCAAGUAGUGGUGGUUGAUUUGCUAGGUUUUCUUGUGGUGGUGGUGGCAGUUUCACCCGUCUUCAACGUAUUUUCGGUGGAAGUUAU
Molecule: non-coding RNA, 610 nt
Organism: Sesamum indicum (sesame)
Lineage: Eukaryota; Viridiplantae; Streptophyta; Magnoliopsida; Lamiales; Pedaliaceae
Source: RefSeq, a predicted model, not a curated record